GCCGGGAUGGCGGAACUGGCAGACGCAAGGGACUUAAAAUCCCUCGAUCCAAAAGAUCGUACCGGUUCGAUUCCGGUUCCCGGCACCA
Molecule: transfer RNA, 88 nt
Filed under: Bacillota bacterium
Lineage: Bacteria; Bacillati; Bacillota
Also listed under: 2 other names
Description: tRNA-Leu
Rfam family: tRNA
About the family: Transfer RNA (tRNA) molecules are approximately 80 nucleotides in length.
Source: RNAcentral